GGGCCCGCACAAGCGGUGGAGCAUGUGGUUUAAUUCGAUGCAACGCGAAGAACCUUACCUGGUCUUGACAUACACAGAAUCUUGUAGAGAUACGAGAGUGCCUUCGGGAAUUGUGAUACAGGUGCUGCAUGGCUGUCGUCAGCUCGUGUCGUGAGAUGUUGGGUUAAGUCCCGCAACGAGCGCAACCCUUGUCCCUAGUUGCCAGCGGUUCGGCCGGGAACUUUAGGGAGACUGCCGGUGAUAAACCGGAGGAAGGUGGGGACGACGUCAAGUCCUCAUGGCCCUUACGGCCAGGGCUACACACGUGCUACAAUGGCCGGUACAACGGGUUGCUAAGCCGCGAGGUGGAGCUAAUCCCAUAAAGCCGGUCUCAGUUCGGAUUGGAGUCUGCAACUCGACUCCAUGAAGGUGGAAUCGCUAGUAAUCCCGGAUC
RNAcentral lists this ribosomal RNA (433 nucleotides) under uncultured bacterium. Its description in RNAcentral is "bacterial SSU rRNA". It matches the Rfam family "Bacterial small subunit ribosomal RNA", at positions 917 to 1350 of the family's 1533-position model. The record is from RNAcentral.